GGGAAUAUAGCUCAGUUGGUAGAGUGCUUGCUUUGCAUGCACGAAGUCCUGGGUUCAAUCCCCAGUGCACACA
RNAcentral lists this transfer RNA (73 nucleotides) under Ictidomys tridecemlineatus (thirteen-lined ground squirrel). Its description in RNAcentral is "Spermophilus tridecemlineatus (thirteen-lined ground squirrel) tRNA". It matches the Rfam family "tRNA". From Rfam's summary of the family: Transfer RNA (tRNA) molecules are approximately 80 nucleotides in length. Their secondary structure includes four short double-helical elements and three loops (D, anti-codon, and T loops). Lineage: Eukaryota; Metazoa; Chordata; Mammalia; Rodentia; Sciuridae. RNAcentral also lists the same sequence under 1 other name. The record is from Rfam by way of RNAcentral.